RNAcentral lists this ribosomal RNA (253 nucleotides) under uncultured bacterium. RNAcentral describes it as "partial 16S ribosomal RNA". It matches the Rfam family "Bacterial small subunit ribosomal RNA", at positions 524 to 776 of the family's 1533-position model. The record is from RNAcentral.
UACAGAGGGUGCGAGCGUUAAUCGGAAUUACUGGGCGUAAAGCGUGCGCAGGCGGUUUUGUAAGACAGAUGUGAAAUCCCCUGGCUCAACCUGGGACCUGCAUUUGUGACUGCAAGGCUAGAGUACGGUAGAGGGGGAUGGAAUUCCGCGUGUAGCAGUGAAAUGCGUAGAUAUGCGGAGGAACACCGAUGGCGAAGGCAAUCCCCUGGACCUGUACUGACGCUCAUGCACGAAAGCGUGGGGAGCAAACAGG